Molecule: transfer RNA, 72 nt
Filed under: Candidatus Woesearchaeota archaeon
Lineage: Archaea; Nanobdellati; Candidatus Woesearchaeota
Description: tRNA-Asn
Rfam family: tRNA
About the family: Transfer RNA (tRNA) molecules are approximately 80 nucleotides in length. Their secondary structure includes four short double-helical elements and three loops (D, anti-codon, and T loops).
Source: RNAcentral
GCCCCGGUAGCUUAGUGGUAUAGCGUACGGCUGUUAACCGUAAGAUCAGGGGUUCGAAUCCCCUCUGGGGCG